Long non-coding RNA from Panicum virgatum (switchgrass), 1596 nucleotides. RefSeq lists it as uncharacterized. Lineage: Eukaryota; Viridiplantae; Streptophyta; Magnoliopsida; Poales; Poaceae. The transcript has 2 exons. The record is from RefSeq and is a predicted model, not a curated record.
UUGUUGCUACGAUACACAGUUGUUAAAGUGCUUUCUCAAUUGUUGUGGUUCAAUAGUUUUCAUCAUUAAAUGCCAAGUGUGCAGUGCUGGUUCUACACUAUGCAGUUAUAAGUCCAUAUAUGGCAUGACAUUAAUAUUUUUUCACUAUUCUGAGAAGCCUAGGCUAUGGGUGUCGAAAUAGGAGAAACAUGUUUUAAGUCUAAUUGUUUAUUAUGGUAUUAUGAUGAAGAUUACCAAUUUACCAUUAUAGGUUCUUCAUGUAACUAAUAAGUUUAGUUCAUGAUUUAUUCUAGAGUCCAAGCCAAACAUUAAAUGACAGAACUCGACAUCACAACAUCUCACACGACACACUGAGUGGAUGCUGUUUACUUGGUAUAAGUUAGCAUGCUACAAAGAGAACAGAUGCUACAAGAAUUUAGGAUUUGUGAUUGCUGGGUUUUCCCAAUUGCAGGAGUGUACACAAAUUAAUAAUAAGUUAUUCAUCACUAUUAACUAAUCUUAACUCAAAGGAAAUUGAGUAGUACUUUAUCUGUUAUACAGUUUAUUAGAUAGUAAAAAUAAUUGGUGCUGUUUUAUAAUUGAAAAUUGAGUGCAAAAUCUAUAUUGUCAAUGAACUAAUAAUAAUUUUGUGUAGUUCUCAUACUCACGUUAGUCUGAUAGCUUUCAUUUAAGCUAAUACUAGCAAACUAGUUGCUGGAAGGUAGUAAUACCAGGCAUUGGGUUCUCUUUGUUUCUGGACUUCACGAGUCUUAAAAGAUUAAUGUUUCAUGUUACUCUACUAUAAAGCCAAGUUUCAGAAUCUUGGUUUGGUUUGCAGCCAUAUGGUGUAACGUCCAAUGAGCAAAUUGAACUUCAGAUUAUUGAUUUCGCUGUUUUUCUUAGUUUUUUAAACUAAACAGGAGUUAUAGGCAAAAAAAAAAAAUUCAUGCAAAAUACAUGGAAUCAUUUUGUGUUGGUUGGUGCUCUAAAGCAUAUUUUCUUUGAUGCAAAUAUGACUUUGUGGACAUGGUGGUUGUUGCUAUGGUAAACCACUGUUCUCAAAUGAUUGUGCCCAUAAUGUUGUUGAAUAGCUUUAAUGGUAUGCUAAAGCAAUGGUUGUGGUUCUGUAUUGUCAACUUAUGAUUGCACAGAUGGUUCCAUGUCAAGUUUCAUCACCACUAUUCAAAGCAUUAAUUAAGGUGUUAAGCAGUUGGUACUCUGUAAUGCUGCGAUGACAAAAAAUUCUGUUUACUGAAUACUUCGUUAUUGAAGCUGGAAUUCAAGCUAGUGUUCUAUGACUGAGAUUGACACUGGAAUGUCUUACUCAUCAUUUCUUGCAAUUGAUUGGGGUGUUCGAAUCCUUUUUUGCGAAUGUGUAGUUUGCAGGCACAGGGUACCAGGGAAGCUUCUUUUAUUGUGUUCUUUAGGUUCAACAGCCCAGGCUCACAUGGCAUAUUAUGGACAGUGUGAGUAUGUCAUGUGGAGCAUGGUGCUCAAAGUGUAGUUUUAUUAAAAUUUGUUGCAAAGAAGUGUAGUUCUGCAAAAUUAAUACAACAAAACCUAACCCAAAAGAAGUGUGGCUUUGUGAAAGAUAAUAAAAUGUGUGCUUUUAUGACA